UACGGUAGGGUGCGAGCGUUAAUCGGAAUUACUGGGCGUAAAGCGUGCGCAGGCGGCUUCGCAAGUCAGGCGUGAAAUCCCCGGGCUUAACCUGGGAAUGGCGUCUGAAACUACGGAGCUGGAGUGUGGCAGAGGGAGGUAGAAAUUCCACAUGUAGCGGUGAAAUGCGUAGAUAUGUGGAGGAAUACCGAUGGCGAAGGCAGCCUCCUGGGCCAACACUGACGCUCAUGCACGAAAGCGUGGGGAGCAAACAGG
RNAcentral lists this ribosomal RNA (255 nucleotides) under uncultured bacterium. Its description in RNAcentral is "partial 16S ribosomal RNA". It matches the Rfam family "Bacterial small subunit ribosomal RNA", at positions 524 to 776 of the family's 1533-position model. The record is from RNAcentral.